AGAGUUUGAUCCUGGCUCAGAACGAACGCUGGCGGCGUGGCUAAGACAUGCAAGUCGAACGGACCAGUAAUUUAUUAUUGGUUAGUGGCGUAAGGGUUAGUAAUGGAUAGGUGAACGUACCCUUUGCUUCGGAAUAGCGUCGUUAGCAGCAAUGCUAACUACCGAAAGGGGCGGUAAUACCGAAUAAUAUCAUCCCUCGACGGAGGGAUGUUCAAAGAUUUAUCGGCGAAGGAGCGGCCUAUCUCCUAUCAGCUUGUUGGUGAGGUAAUGGCCCACCAAGGCUAAGACGGGUAACGGGACUGAGAGGUUGUUCCGUAACAUCGGGACUGAGACACUGCCCGGACCUCCACGGAGGGCUGCAGUAACGAAUCUUGCGCAAUGGGCGAAAGCCUGACGCAGCGACGCCGCGUGUGGGAGGAAGUCCCUCGGGAUGUAAACCACUGUCAGGGGUAAGAAAGUCCGCUUCGGCGGAUUGAUCUAACCCAAAGGAAGUCACGGCUAACUUCGUGCCAGCAGCCGCGGUAAGACGAAGGUGGCUAGCGUUGUUCGGUAUCACUGGGCUUAAAGGGUGUGUAGGCGGGAGCGUAAGCGCUUUGUGAAAUCCCUCGGCUUAACCGAGGAAUUGCUGGGCGUACUGCGCUUCUUGAGGCAAGUAGGGGUGCACGGAACUCUUGGUGGAGCGGUGGAAUGCGUAGAUAUCAAGAGGAACGCCGGUGGAGAAAUCGGUGCACUGGGCUUGUUCUGACGCUGAGACACGAAAGCGUGGGGAGCAAACGGGAUUAGAUACCCUGGUAGUC
This 797-nucleotide ribosomal RNA is filed under the name uncultured bacterium. RNAcentral describes it as "bacterial SSU rRNA". It matches the Rfam family "Bacterial small subunit ribosomal RNA", at positions 8 to 795 of the family's 1533-position model. The record is from RNAcentral.